Molecule: long non-coding RNA, 1182 nt
Filed under: Homo sapiens (human)
Lineage: Eukaryota; Metazoa; Chordata; Mammalia; Primates; Hominidae
Description: HSALNT0364306
Source: RNAcentral
CUUCUUUACAAUAUGCUGUUUCAUCAGCAAGGUCUUUGUGCUCUGUACCGUGUGCGGACCUCCUAACUCAUCUGCAACUAAGAAUACCUUAACCUCCUGGGAACGCAGCUGGCUUCAGCCCUAUUUUACCCAUCCCCUAUUCAAGAUAGAGUAGCUUUGGUUUGAUCGCCUCUGACAGCAUGAUUUUGGCUCAUUGCAGCUUUGACUUCUCCCCGGCUCAAGUGAUCCUCCUGCCUCAGCCCCCCAAGCAGUUGGGACAAUAGGCACAUGCCACCACACCCAGCUAAUUUUUGUAUUCUUCUUGUGUGUAGAGAUGGGGUUUGCCACAUUGCCCAGGCUGGUCUUGAACUCCUGGGCACAAGCUAUCUGCCUGCCUCGGCCUCCCAAAGUGCUGGAUUACUCGUGUCAGUCACAGUGCCCUGCCCAACAACUUUUAAUUAUCUCUCAUGCUUCUCUAUCAAUUAGGUCCUCAGCUGAGUCGUUCUGCUAUAUUGCAUCAGAUGUCAGCUGGUUCUGCAGUCAUCUGGAGGCUCUGCUGGUAGAACUCCCAGCACACUUCACUCAAAUGGCUGGCUGCAGCUGGUGCUAGUUAUGGUCUGGGAUCUCAGAUGAGGCUGCUAAGCCGAAUGUGUUGUUACUCCUUUACAUCGUCUCUCCACAUGGCUUGAACUUCUCACAGCAUGCCUGCUGGAUUCGAAGAGAUGGCAUUCAAGUGCUUAAAAAUAUGGAGUUCUGCUCUUGCUGCUCAGUCGGGAGUGCAAAGGCACAAUCUUGGCUCACUGCAACCUCUGACUCCUGGGUUUAAGCAAUUCUCCUGCCUCAGCCUCCAGAGUAGUGGGGAUUACAGGCACGUGCCACCACGGUUGGCUAAUCUUUGUAUUUUUAGUAGAGACGGGGUUUUACCAUGUUGGUCAGGCUGGUCCCAAACUCCUGACCUUAAGUGAUCAUCCACCUCUGCCUCCCAAAGUGCUGGGAUUAUGGGCGUGAGCCACCGCGCCUGGCCUCACUAGCAAUAUCUUUAAUGACGCCUUGGUAUACUAGGUAACUACAUAAAUUAUUAAAACACAGCCAUAGGAAAAUGUGUCUGUCUUCAUCCAGAUUCAUCUCUAAAUGUAUGAAUGUUUGAGAUAGCACUAUUGAUGUAUUGUAGUAUUUUCUUUGGGGCUAUCUGAGUAAAGUGAA